Molecule: ribosomal RNA, 804 nt
Filed under: uncultured bacterium
Lineage: Bacteria
Description: bacterial SSU rRNA
Rfam family: Bacterial small subunit ribosomal RNA
Source: RNAcentral
AGUCGAGGGGUAUGGUUCUUCGGAACCAGAGACCGGCGCACGGGUGCGUAACGCGUAUGCAAUCUGCCUUUCACAGAGGGAUAGCCCAGAGAAAUUUGGAUUAAUACCUCAUAGUAUAGCGACAUCGCAUGAUGAUGCUAUUAAAGUCACAACGGUGAAAGAUGAGCAUGCGUCCCAUUAGCUAGUUGGUAAGGUAACGGCUUACCAAGGCAACGAUGGGUAGGGGUCCUGAGAGGGAGAUCCCCCACACUGGUACUGAGACACGGACCAGACUCCUACGGGAGGCAGCAGUGAGGAAUAUUGGUCAAUGGGCGCAAGCCUGAACCAGCCAUGCCGCGUGCAGGAUGACGGUCCUAUGGAUUGUAAACUGCUUUUAUACGAGAAGAAACACUCCUUCGUGAAGGAGCUUGACGGUAUCGUAAGAAUAAGGAUCGGCUAACUCCGUGCCAGCAGCCGCGGUAAUACGGAGGAUCCAAGCGUUAUCCGGAAUCAUUGGGUUUAAAGGGUCCGUAGGCGGUUAGAUAAGUCAGUGGUGAAAGCCCAUCGCUCAACGGUGGAACGGCCAUUGAUACUGUUUAACUUGAAUUAUUAGGAAGUAACUAGAAUAUGUAGUGUAGCGGUGAAAUGCUUAGAGAUUACAUGGAAUACCAAUUGCGAAGGCAGGUUACUACUAAUGGAUUGACGCUGAUGGACGAAAGCGUGGGUAGCAAACAGGAUUAGAUACCCUGGUAGUCCACGCCCUAAACGAUGUCAACUAGGUGUUGGGUGGGUAAAACCAUUUAGUACCGGAGCUAACGCGUGAAG